Molecule: non-coding RNA, 1123 nt
Organism: Macaca mulatta (Rhesus monkey)
Lineage: Eukaryota; Metazoa; Chordata; Mammalia; Primates; Cercopithecidae
Source: RefSeq, a predicted model, not a curated record
AGAGCGAGACUCUGCCUUAAAAAAAAAAAAUAUGGAAAGAUAUGUUUGUGAGUUAGAAAUGGAAUACCUUAUUUCAACAGGGUCAAAAUGCACUAAAAAAGGAGAGAAACAUAGCUUUGACUGUAGCACAAUUAGAUUUCUGUUCAACAGAGGACACCAUAAAAUUAAAAGGUAGAUGACAGACUGUGGACGGUUGCAACUUUUAGGGGCCAAGGCAAACCUUCCCUUUGCUCUCUGAAGGUUCCCUCAAAAUCAACUGACAAAAGUCCCAGAUUAAUAGGAGAAAAGCCAUCCAAAUGUAUUAAUGUGCAUGGAGGGCGGGGGAGGGAAUCACAGAGUAAUUACCCACCAUGCCAUGGAGUACAGAUGCUUCUAUAUCCUUUUUCAUAGGGGAAGGGGGGAGAUGGGGAAAUAUAGACAAUUCAUCUGAGGGGCAGUAAAUAAUUAUUAGGGAGAAUGAAUGGACCCAAGGCAGAAAUUAACUUGUAAAUAAUUCCCUUUAGAAUUUGAAUGAGCCUGAGAAGCAGGCAUUAUCUUGUGGAAAAGUCCAUCCAGGUGUGGUUGCAUUCUUCUGUCUUUUCCACAAUAGCAGGUCUGAGGUCAACCAGUGUGAAGACUGCCCAUCCAUCCAGAAACACACUCAGAACCAAAAAUGUGGUUUCUUCAUCUCCCUGUCCCAAGUCCUGAAUUUUGGGAUGUCCCUGAGUUCUUCAUUGAUCAGUGGGCCAUGACCAGCUUUUCAAGAAGACUUGGCCUUGCCUGAAAGUACUACAGCAGCAGCAUCUGUGCAGAUGUGGGUGGUCUUUACAAUGUCAGAAGACAAGUUUUUAAACAAUAUUUUGGAUCCAUGGUUGGUUGAAUUCAUGUGGAUGGGGAACCUGAGGAUACAAAAGUAUCAAUUGCAGUGGGUAAUCUUGAAAUGCAUCAUCAGAGAAAUCUCCAACAUUAGAUUGCUGGGAUGAGGAAGCUGCCAUGGGAGCCUGGAUGAGAAAGCAAUUCAUCUUGAAAUGGAGAUUGCUAAAUGUGAGCCUUAGAGAGGAUGGAUGUCUGAGUAUGUCCGGAAUUGGUGGGUUCUUGGUCUCGCUGACUUCAAGAAUGAAGCCGCAGACCCUCGCAGUGAAUG